CCUACGGGAGGCAGCAGUAGGGAAUAUUGGACAAUGGGGGCAACCCUGAUCCAGCAAUGCCGCGUGAGUGAUGAAGGCCUUAGGGUUGUAAAGCUCUUUUACCAGAGAUGAUAAUGACAGUAUCUGGGGAAUAAGCCCCGGCUAACUCCGUGCCAGCAGCCGCGGUAAUA
This 170-nucleotide ribosomal RNA is filed under the name uncultured Alphaproteobacteria bacterium. Its description in RNAcentral is "partial 16S ribosomal RNA". It matches the Rfam family "Bacterial small subunit ribosomal RNA", at positions 338 to 525 of the family's 1533-position model. Lineage: Bacteria; Pseudomonadati; Pseudomonadota; Alphaproteobacteria. The record is from RNAcentral.